GAAAAUGAUAUUCUAUUUUUACUGUUUUGCAAUUGUUCAUCUGGUUUAGCAAGUCAUUCAUGGAAAAUCUAUUCUGUACAACAAAACAAAAUCCAACAGCUUCUUGAUAUCAAACCCCAGCUACUUCCAAGCAGAAUUGUUUCUUCGUAAUUUCAUGCCUCAACCUUCAAGUCAAACCCCAAUAAUAUUGGGAUACAAAGCUUCUUAGGUAUCUAAGAAAUGUACAAUGAUAGAGCUCAAAAAGUCUCAAAAAGAGGUGAGAUCUCAUCAAAGGGAAGUAAGAGACAUCUUUGGCUAAGAAAACCAAAUCCACUAUUUUAGCCAAGGUAUUUCAGCCUCUGACUGCUAUUCCUUACCUAACUUCUCCCAUUGGUUCUCCUAUUAGAGAGGCUAUUACUGCUGUCGCUUCAACACGUACGACCUCAGGCAUUUCUUGUUCACAUUUUCCUUUCCCCAAUCUCCAGUACCCCGAUAUUGAAGCUAUGGUUGGAACUCACCCAAAGAUAUUCCUAGAUUUUCUUCAAGCACCAUCACUUUCCAAAGAUAUGAUCUCAUCUUUCCCUUUUACUAUUAGAGACUCAGCUAACCUACUAAUAAGAAACUGUAAUGAAAGAAAACAAAGGUUUCUGGAAGAGAUGUCUAUAGAUGAGGUAUGUAUUACUGGAAAGCUAUACAAUGAUCAUUCUGUUUUAUAUAUGAUGAAUGUGGCCAUGAAGAUGUGUUCCUCUUUUUCUUUUUUCUUUUUGAACUCUCUAUUGAAUAAUCAAAAUUGUCAAUGCGAAGAUUGAAAAAGUGGUUGCUUUCAGGAAUGAGGCCUUAGCUACUUUCUAGGUUGUCAAGGCUGACAAAGUCCAAAAGACAAAGGAGAAGAAAGAACAUGAGCAUAGACUUUGCACCUUGGAGGCCGAACUAAAGGCUAAGAUCGUAUUUAGGUCUAAGCGUGAGAAAGAGUUGGCAACAACUAAGUUACAGAGUGAGGAAGCCAACAUUUGAGCUUACAAUGAAAAAUUGAAGGAUGAAGAGGAAUGAAAAAAAUAUCGAUGAGGCAAAUGCUAGGACAAUCAAAGCCAUAGAGCUCUAGAAAGAGUUUCCAAAGUUCAACGCAUUGGCUCGGAAUGCCCACAUCGUCAGCUUGGUCGAGGCCAAAAUCCCAAAUUGGAGGAGAAAAUGGCUAAAGGAAGAGAGGACCAAAAGUGCAAAAGUACUGAAAGUUUAGGGACCUAGGUUGCAAUAUUUUAUAUGGGCAUGAUUAAAAGAAAAGUCAAAAUUUGAGGACUAAAAUGUACAAUAUGAAAGUUGAGGGAUUGAAUGCGCAAUUACCAAAGGACUAGAGCUUCAAUAAGAGCAAAAUAGGGAAGUGGCGCCGUGGUUUUGUCCAUUUGAUAGCACUAUGGCGCUGCAGCACCACGUACAAGGUGUCGCAACGCCGUAGCCACGGCUAGGGUCCAUUUGGCUUUUUUCUAAUUAAUUGAGGACCAUUUUGCAAUUAACAAAACACGAUUUUUGAGCCAUUUAAAGGGCAAAUUGAACCAUUUUUUUCCCAUUCUUCAUCCAUUUCAAAACCCUAGCAUAGGGAGAAAAAGGGGACAAGCAAAAAAAGAGAGGAAAUAUCACACAAAGAGGAGGAAAAUCUUGGAGAAAUCAAAACCAAAACUAAGCAAGCUUCAAUGGUCGGACCAAGGGAUAGGUUUAUUUCUUUAUAUUGUAAUUUACAUUAUAUUCUUAUCAACUUUUGUCAUGUAUUUCUUUAAUAUUUUCACUUUGAGCCCUUUAAACACAAUCUAAAUAUUUUGGUAUUGGGAUGAAUGAGGAAGUUUGGCCAAACUAUAUUAAUUUCUAUGUUUACUUGUUAAUGUAUUAAUGCUUAUGCUCUUUUGUUUUUACCAUUGUUUUGACUGCAUUAUCCUUAUUGUCAUCAUUGUGUGAUAAUGUCAAAUGAUUUGUGUGAUUAUUGAGAAAUUCUUGCACAUUUUAAACUGAGAUGGUAGAAACCUUAUGCUCUUGUGGGAGAUAGAGAUAUACUCCCAACCCUAUAAACCCUUUGAGCUAUUUUCAUAGAUAUUUAAUGCUAUUGAUUGUGUUUAAUCGACAUAGAAAUAUAGUAGGUUCAACCAAUUUAUUAGAGUUAAUUUCACUUGAGAGAUGUAAUUAACUAAAAUAGGAAAAUUGGGUUUGACAAGAUAAGUUAGCAUUUUCUAGUAAUUUGUUUGUGAGAAAUUAAUUUAGUAACGGACAAGUGGAAUCAUAAAUCUCAACCCAAUUAAAAUCCAAAUUCUCAUUAUUGUUAUAAUUGUGUGUUUUUAAUUGAAAGCUUAAAGUCAUUUUCUUUUCAUUUUUAAUUUUAAAGAUUUUAAUUGUGUGUGUCUUUACCGUUAAUUUGAAUCAACUCUUGUGUAAUUGGAAUAAACACUUUUCAAGGGAUCAACUCGAAUUUAAAAAGUUCAUUUUAUUACUUGAACGCGACCG
Olea europaea var. sylvestris is the source of this 2466-nucleotide long non-coding RNA. RefSeq lists it as uncharacterized. The transcript is spliced from 3 exons. The record is from RefSeq and is a predicted model, not a curated record. Lineage: Eukaryota; Viridiplantae; Streptophyta; Magnoliopsida; Lamiales; Oleaceae.